UACGGAGGGUGCAAGCGUUAAUCGGAAUUACUGGGCGUAAAGCGCACGCAGGUGGCUGAGUAAGUCGAUUGUGAAAGCCCUGGGCUUAACCUGGGAAUUGCAUUCGAUACUGCUCAGCUAGAGUAUGGGAGAGGGUAGUGGAAUUCCCGGUGUAGCGGUGAAAUGCGUAGAUAUCGGGAGGAACAUCAGUGGCGAAGGCGGCUACCUGGCCCAAUACUGACACUCAGGUGCGACAGCGUGGGGAGCAAACAGG
RNAcentral lists this ribosomal RNA (253 nucleotides) under uncultured bacterium. RNAcentral describes it as "partial 16S ribosomal RNA". It matches the Rfam family "Bacterial small subunit ribosomal RNA", at positions 524 to 776 of the family's 1533-position model. The record is from RNAcentral.